RNAcentral lists this ribosomal RNA (318 nucleotides) under Triticum aestivum (bread wheat). RNAcentral's name for it is "partial small subunit ribosomal RNA". The record is from RNAcentral. Lineage: Eukaryota; Viridiplantae; Streptophyta; Magnoliopsida; Poales; Poaceae.
AUGUCCCCCUCCGACAAUGCAACCGAACCCAGGACCACAAUGCGGAGCUGGAGCGGCCGACACCUCAUCGGCAUGACGAGGGGCCCUGUGCAAAAGGGCGAGGGCGCGCGGAUGGCUGCCAGUAGGUCAAUGCCUGAGUUGGUGAGGCUGGCCACCCACCGGUCAUGGACGUUGUUACUCCCGGCAAUGAUGCGGGUCAGGGGGCGGCGCGGUGGUGGGCGAGCCAUCGGAGGAGAGCAAGGAGCUGUGAGGAAAGUGAGAGGGAGUGGUGUGAAUGAAGGAGUGAGUGGUGACACAAGAGAGGAAGGGGAGUUAUGA